UAGCAGUGGCACGCUCAUACACAAAAGAAAAUUGACUUAUUGACCACAAAUGGUUUUCAAGUCAAUAGGGAACUUUACCUUACCAUCACAGAAACAAAUCUAAAACGGGUGAACAAUUUGAAAGGCCCAAGUACCACAAAAGGCAUGGGUUUCAGCUUAGAUUAUUGAUCUGUAACUUGUCCCAGUGGGGUAAACCCUAUUCCUCUUUCUCUAUUGCUUCGUUUUCAAUCUCAGUUUGUUGGAGUGCAUUUUCACUGCCAACAGUAGCACGCUCACAAACAAACACACCAAUCUGUUGGCCAACUCCUGGCCAUGCCAAUAACAAAGGAACAAACACCUUCAUAUCAAAUUCAAGAAUAUUAACAAGAUUAGCAAAAUGAACGACGACCACAAUACAAGCUUUCAAAUAGUUUUCGCAGCAAGAGACACUCCCGCCAACAUAUUUACUCAUGCUGAACUUGAAAUAGACUAGUCCGG
Molecule: long non-coding RNA, 477 nt
Filed under: Prunus persica (peach)
Lineage: Eukaryota; Viridiplantae; Streptophyta; Magnoliopsida; Rosales; Rosaceae
Description: long non-coding RNA (PPER_LNC002304)
Source: RNAcentral